AGGACGAACGCUGGCGGCGUGCUUAACACAUGCAAGUCGAGCGGUAAGGCCCUUCGGGGUACACGAGCGGCGAACGGGUGAGUAACACGUGGGUAACCUGCCCUGUACUUUGGGAUAAGCCCGGGAAACUGGGUCUAAUACCGGAUACGACUCACGGACGCAUGUCUGUGGGUGGAAAGUUCUGGCGGUACAGGAUGGGCCCGCGGCCUAUCAGCUUGUUGGUGGGGUAACGGCCUACCAAGGCGACGACGGGUAG
This 256-nucleotide ribosomal RNA is filed under the name uncultured bacterium. RNAcentral describes it as "partial small subunit ribosomal RNA". It matches the Rfam family "Bacterial small subunit ribosomal RNA", at positions 26 to 286 of the family's 1533-position model. The record is from RNAcentral.